RNAcentral lists this RNase P RNA (384 nucleotides) under Alcaligenaceae bacterium. Its description in RNAcentral is "RNase P RNA component class A". It matches the Rfam family "Bacterial RNase P class A". Rfam says of the family: Ribonuclease P (RNase P) is a ubiquitous endoribonuclease, found in archaea, bacteria and eukarya as well as chloroplasts and mitochondria. Its best characterised activity is the generation of mature 5'-ends of tRNAs by cleaving the 5'-leader elements of precursor-tRNAs. Lineage: Bacteria; Pseudomonadati; Pseudomonadota; Betaproteobacteria; Burkholderiales; Alcaligenaceae. The record is from RNAcentral.
AAAGUGGGCUGGGCAAUCGCGGGGGUUUUAUCCUCGAGGAACGUCCGGACUCCAUAGGGCAGGAUAGCGGCUAACAGCCGUCCGGUUGCGCAAGUAACCGAGGAACAGGGCCACAGAGACGAGACUGCAGCGUGGGCACGCAAGUGCACUGAUACGGCGACUUCCGUAUGGCAUUGCCGCAAGGCAAUAACGCCGCAGGGUGAAACGCGGUAACCUCUAUCCGGAGCAACAUCAAAUAGGCAUGUGUCUGGUUCUGCCAGGAAGGGCGGCUCGUCCAAACAUGCGGGUAGAUGGCUAGAACGCAUCAGCAAUGAUGCGUCCAGAGGAAUGAUUGCCAACCAGUUUACUGGUUUACAGAAUCCGGCUUAUAGGCUCACUUUGCCA